CCCACCUCUUGGGAUCCAUCAAAAUCUUUGGUCAUUAAGGGGUUUGAAUUUCUCUGUUCAAAGAUUUGCCUGACUGCAGGCCUUAAGGCACAAUGUGAACAGAAAAGGUGAGAGCACUUGGGGGAAGGAUCAUGAUCACAGAGUCAACCUCCUCUGACAGUUCACCAACUUCUCAAAGACUUUCCCCAAGUAGCCAGCACUUUCCCACUAUGAUAAGGCAAGUAGCGAGAAAGUUUUGUUGUCGUCUUUGUCUUGCUUUUCCCCACUUCAAGCCUCUGAGGCACCAUGGAAAUCCUUGGAGUACACUUGGAAUUUGAAGAACUAACGCACAGGAGUUGCAUUGGCCUUUGGUUCCAGCAGUCGGGGCCGAUCAAAGACCCCAGUGUGUGUGAUGACUCUGGCCACUCACUUCUACUUGGACUUGCUCGAGGACCACAUGCAGGUGCAUAACAUCUUUUCACAUCUUUUCACAAAGGUCAGCC
This 482-nucleotide long non-coding RNA is filed under the name Rhinopithecus bieti (black snub-nosed monkey). RNAcentral describes it as "lncRNA (ENSRBIG00000045411.1)". The record is from RNAcentral. Lineage: Eukaryota; Metazoa; Chordata; Mammalia; Primates; Cercopithecidae.